Molecule: ribosomal RNA, 451 nt
Filed under: Mantidactylus melanopleura
Lineage: Eukaryota; Metazoa; Chordata; Amphibia; Anura; Mantellidae
Description: partial 16S ribosomal RNA
Rfam family: Bacterial large subunit ribosomal RNA
Source: RNAcentral
GGGGACUUGUAUCAACGGCACCACGAGGGUUAGACUGUCUCCUUUUUCAAAUCAGUGAAAUUAAUCUCCCCGUGAAGAAGCGGGGAUACUCAUAUAAGACGAGAAGACCCCAUGGAGCUUCAAACCCAACUACACCCCUAGCUCUUAUAGCCCCACAACCCCCCUAGGCACCGUGUGCUUGGUUUUAGGUUGGGGCGACCGCGGAGUACAAUAAAACCUCCACAAUGAAUGGGAACACCCCCUUAUCUGAGGGCCACACCCCCUAAGAAUUAGAACACUAACAUAAAAUGAUCCAUUACUUGAUCAAUGAACCAAGUUACCCUGGGGAUAACAGCGCAAUCCAUUUCAAGAGCCCCUAUCGACAAAUGGGUUUACGACCUCGAUGUUGGAUCAGGGUACCCCAGUGGUGCAGCAGCUACUAACGGUUCGUUUGUUCAACGAUUAAAACCCU